Molecule: ribosomal RNA, 516 nt
Filed under: Prosoeca longipennis
Lineage: Eukaryota; Metazoa; Arthropoda; Insecta; Diptera; Nemestrinidae
Description: partial large subunit ribosomal RNA
Rfam family: Bacterial large subunit ribosomal RNA
Source: RNAcentral
AUGUCCUUUAGAAUUUAAUUUAAGGUCUAACCUGCCCACUGAGUUAUUAAAUGGCCGCAGUAUUUUAACUGUGCAAAGGUAGCAUAAUCAUUAGUCUUUUAAUUGAAGGCUUGUAUGAAUGGUUGGACAAAAUAUAUAUUGUUUCAUUUAAAUUUAUAGAAUUUUAUUUUUUAGUUAAAAAGCUGAAAUUUAAUUAAAAGACGAGAAGACCCUAUAGAUCUUUAUAAUUAUUAAAUUUAAUUUGUGAAGAAUAUUUUAUUUUUUAUUUAUAUAAUUAUUUUAUUGGGGUGAUAGUAAGAUUUAUUUAACUCUUGUAUAGUUUAAUACAUAAAUUAAUGAUUAAUUGAUCCAGUAUUAUUGAUUAGUAAAAUAAGUUACCUUAGGGAUAACAGCGUAAUUUUUUUAGAGAGUUCAUAUCGAUAAAAAAGAUUGCGACCUCGAUGUUGGAUUAAGAGAUAAGUUUGGGCGCAGCCGUUCAAAUUUAAAGUCUGUUCGACUUUUUAAUUCUUACAUGAU